GCCCGGUUAGCUCAGCCGGUAGAGCGUUGUACUUUUAAUCCAAAGGCCAAGGUUUCAAGUCCCUUAUCGGGCU
Molecule: non-coding RNA, 73 nt
Organism: Ciona savignyi (Pacific transparent sea squirt)
Lineage: Eukaryota; Metazoa; Chordata; Ascidiacea; Phlebobranchia; Cionidae
Source: Rfam